This 1868-nucleotide long non-coding RNA is filed under the name Homo sapiens (human). RNAcentral describes it as "HSALNT0307743". Lineage: Eukaryota; Metazoa; Chordata; Mammalia; Primates; Hominidae. The record is from RNAcentral.
GGUGUUGACCUUAGUGAGGUGAAAAGCCAUUGGAGGGUUUUGCACAGUUGGCAUCCAGUUGGCAUUAAAGACAUAAAGUUACUUGAAUAACCCGAAAAUGAGGGUAUAGCAUAGCAAAGAGGUCUGAGGUCUGGGGCACUCCAACUUUUAGAAGUCAGAGGGUGAAGUUCCUACCAAAGGAGACUAAGAAAGAGAAGGAAUGAUGUGAGAGAAACAGCAAAAGACACAGAUAUGCCAAAAUACAACCAAGAAAAGUGCUUCAGGGAGGAAAUAGUUGAAAUGUUUCCAAAUAUUUUGAUGGUUCAACUAAGAAGUCUGCAAAUAGAGAAUGUAAUGUGGCAAGGUAGAAGUGGAGUGGGUGGCUUUCCCAAGAACCGUUUGAAUGGAGUGUGAAAAUAAGACCCUUAAAAUGAGGUGGUAUGUGUGUAGAGGUUGAAGAGCAUGUAGAAGAGGAAUCAGAAUGGCUGAAUAGUGGUUUGGGGGCAGUGUGGUUUGUUCUAAAGGGAAGCAGAGGAAUGAGGAGAUAGUGAAGGGAAAUGUGGCUUCAAAGGAAGGAUCUUUUUAAGAAAGAAACAAUCACUGCUGUUUGUAUUUAAAUGUUUCCAUAGCUCCAAUAAUUAUCAAAGAGAAAGAGAGAAAAAAUGGUGAUACAAGAAAUAGAAGAGACAAUUGUUGGAUCAAUAUUCUUAAGAGGGCAUUAAGGGAUGGGAGCUAAUGUACAAGUAGAAGUUUGCUUUAUGUAAUAACAAAGGCAGUUCAUCCACAGUGUAUGCUUAGGGGUCCCUAGAGAGAAAAAAAAAUGGGCUGAUUCAAAAUACAAACAGUUAAGGAGGGUUUCUUUAUAUGAGUGAAAGUAUAGGGAAAUGAUAUUUUUUAAAUGCCUAAGCUGUUACCAAUCCUGAAGCCAAAGUGACAAAAAGAAGAAGGGGAAGACAGGGAAUGCUGUCAAGACAGCUGCCUAACAGAGAGGUGAUCUAUCCAUCAAUAGAUAGGAUCUCGCUGAUGCCCUGGAUACUGCCACAAGGGAUUCGCGUGGGCUGGAGUGCAGUAGCACCAUCACAGCUCACUGCAGCUGCAGGAUCACAGUUCAUUGCCCCUUCAACUUCCUGGCCUCAAGCCAUCCUUCUGCCUUGGCCUCCUGAGUAGCUUGGACUACUGGUGCUAGCCACCAUGCCCAGGAGGAUGAAAUUUAACCACAUCAAAGAAACCUACAGCUCUGAUACUCUCAGAAAAAAUAAGACUCAACACAAAGAGAGUAAAAAGAGUUAUUCUGUCAACGAAGGGUCUUGACCGAAUAAUGUAUACAUCAGAUCUUUUCAUCUUGCACUUCUUGGACACUGUGAUUCAAAAGGGAGAUUAUUUGUGUCAGUAAAGAAGUAUCCAUAAUGAUAAAACACAAGUACUUCAAAGAACAACCUGUGCUUCUCAAAAGGAAAAUAGUUUGGAUCCAUUUACUUUUCUCCUCUACUUCACAUUCUAAAUGACUGAGAAAAUGUCUUCUCGUUUUCAAUACAACCCAUGGGAAAUCAUACUCAAAUAAGUAGUAACUGAAUGAACUAAUCUGGAAAAGUGGUCCUCAAUUUGUUUCUGUAAUAUCAGCUAUCACAAUACUGCCUUGAUAUUUCAUACAAUUCUGCAGAGUAUAAAAAAGCAAAAGCCUCUAAAAGUUGGUACUAGAAUGUACUACACGCUCAAUAUAGACCACAAAAUGGAUCAGACAUGAAGCUUAGUAUUGUCUGUGUGCACAGUGUUUAAAUAUUCCCUUGUUUUAAAAGUGCCAGUGUUUGUUAAGUAACUUAAAAUAUUUGCCACAUGUAGCUUAUUUUUUUUACUUUUUAUUAUAUUUUUGUCAUAGGUAAAAAAGUGAA